AGAGUUUGAUCCUGGCUCAGGAUGAACGCUAGCGGCAGGCCUAACACAUGCAAGUCGAGGGGCAGCAUUUCCAGCUUGCUGGAAGAUGGCGACCGGCGCACGGGUGCGCAACGCGUAUGGAACCUGCCCGCUACAGGGGAAUAGCCCGGGGAAACCCGGAUUAACGCCCCAUGUUCCCCGUCCGCCGCAUGGCGUGGCGGGGCAAAGGCUUCGGCCGGUAGCGGAUGGCCAUGCGUAGCAUUAGCUAGUCGGUAAGGUAACGGCUUACCGAGGCCACGAUGCUUAGGGGCCCUGAGAGGGGGAUCCCCCACACUGGUACUGAGACACGGACCAGACUCCUACGGGAGGCAGCAGUGAGGAAUAUUGGACAAUGGGCUCACGCCUGAUCCAGCCAUGCCGCGUGCGGGAAGAAGGCCCUACGGGUCGUAAACCGCUUUUGUACGGGAAGAACAUGGGGCACGUGUGCCCCUUUGACGGUACCGUAAGAAUAAGGACCGGCUAACUCCGUGCCAGCAGCCGCGGUAAUACGGAGGGUCCGAGCGUUAUCCGGAAUCAUUGGGUUUAAAGGGUCCGUAGGCGGGCCGUUAAGUCAGGGGUGAAAGCCCGCGGCUCAACCGCGGGACUGCCCUUGAUACUGGCGGUCUUGAGUGAUAGUGGAGUGGGCGGAAUGUGCAGUGUAGCGGUGAAAUGCAUAGAUAUUGCACAGAACACCGAUCGCGAAGGCAGCUCACUAACUAUCCACUGACGCU
This 749-nucleotide ribosomal RNA is filed under the name uncultured bacterium. RNAcentral's name for it is "bacterial SSU rRNA". It matches the Rfam family "Bacterial small subunit ribosomal RNA", at positions 8 to 747 of the family's 1533-position model. The record is from RNAcentral.